Long non-coding RNA from Anthonomus grandis grandis, 718 nucleotides. RefSeq lists it as uncharacterized. Lineage: Eukaryota; Metazoa; Arthropoda; Insecta; Coleoptera; Curculionidae. The record is from RefSeq and is a predicted model, not a curated record. The transcript is spliced from 2 exons.
CUUUGACGGUGUUUCGAAAAUCGUAAUAUUAUUAUAUAUAUUUAUAAUAAUCCUAAUAUUUAAUAAACAAAAAACUGAAUGCACUGGUCAAUUUUGAGCACUUGUACUUAAAUGUCUCUAAAUUUACCAGAUAGUAUAAUACAAGUUUUUAGAAAGUUUUUAUUUGUAGAUACUACAAUUGAUACAAAUGUAUUGCCUGGCACGCAUAUUCAAGUUGAUAUUUUGCAGCAUAGUUCAAAAAAUGAUAAACAAUUAAAAACUUAUUCUCGUAAGAGGCUUCACGAAGAUGAGAUUGUCGGUGACCAACAUGAAAAAGUUAAACUUGUACGUCACAGUCCCAGUCCUCAAAGCACACAGACAGUUCUAAAGUUCACUGUAGAUUAUCCAGAUACUCCAUCUUCCACAAAAUCUAAUAUUAAAAAAAAAUCAAGAGUUUUAAGUGUUCAGUUAACUUUAAACGUUAACUAACAUUAAAAAAAAAAAAGUUUAAAGCUCAAAAAAAUAAGUAUUUACGCCUUAAAAAGAAAGCAAAUCUAGCGUCUAAAAACUUUUUGGCAAAUUUACUUAAAGGAAAAAGUACAGCUGUAAAAACACUAAUUAACAUGCAGUUAUCUCCAACGAGGAAAAAAGUUUGGACGACCAAUGAGCGACAUUUGGCACUUUCUCUUUAUUAUAAGUCUUAUUCUUAUUUAUCUUAUUAAAAGCUUAUUGAAUUUUU